GAGGACAGAGCAGCUUCCCCAUGGGCUUUGCAGGAGCAGUGCUCUGGGGCAGCUUCCCCACAGGCUCACAAUAGCAUGUCACCAGCCACCCCUUCCUCUGGGUGGAGGGGACAUCAGGAGGAAAUGACAGACGGGCUGAGCUUGUGUGUGUGCUGUGCACAUAUGUGGCUUCUUCUUGAGCCAUUUCUGAGCUGACAAGAUCCUCCUUCCUCUCUAGGUCCCCAGACGAGGCCUUUCCUGGAGGUCUUGGCUGCGGCAGUGGGAGCGGCCACUACACGCUAGAGUGGGCAGCCUGUGCUGCCUCUGGUGUCACCGAAGCCCCCUGUGAGAAGGCAGAGAAGGAGGCCAAGCUGGUCACCCAGAGGUCAGGAGAGCAGAGAGAGACCGUGAAACCAUUUGACCUGAACUACGGAUAUGGGUAUCAGCUCAAAUCUUCAGGGAAAGAAGGAUCCAGGCAAAAUGAGCCCUCCCCCUUCAGGCUUCGACCAGUGACUCCUGGACCAAAGCUGCCACUGCCUUCACCAGCACCAAGCCUGGCUCUGCUGAGGACUGUGAUUUCAGCUUGCAGCCCGGCUCUGCCUCUGAGGGGGAUUCCAGUUGUCAGACUUCAGGACACAUUGGCCAGUAACGCUGCCACUGCCCAGCAGAUCCCAAUUUCCCUUCCCACGUCUCUGCAAGCUCAAGCCCAGCUGGGACAGAGGGGAGGGCUGCCCGUCUCCCAGUCUCAGGAGAUCUUCAGCUCCUUACAGCCCUUCAGGCCUCCGUGGAGGUUCCAGUCCAGCUUGGAGAGACUGUCAAGAAAUGAGAAAAAACCUGCACAGUGUAACCUGUGGAAAGGUGAUGAGAUGUCUGGCCAGAAAUGCAGCAGGAGAAAAGAGAGGGUUUCUCCAUUUUCAACUGGGUGGUCAGGGUUGGCUUUGUUGUGAAGCAGAGAUGGAGUGAAGACUUGAGGGAGGUUUGGGAGUGUGAGGAGACCAGUGUGGCUGGAGCAGAGUGGGUGAAGAGGAGAGCAGCAGGACAGGGGGCCGAGAGCUGGCAGGACCUGGAUGUGGAGGCCUCAGGGCACAUGCUGAGGGCUUGUGCUCAGAGUGAAGUGGGAGGUGGUGGAGGGUGGCUGUGGGUUGGAUUGUGUCCCCCAGAAAAAGAUGUUGAAGUCCUAAUCCCUGGAGCCUGUGAAUGGGACAAAAUCAUGCCAUUUUGAAAAAUUCAUUGUGUUUUUACUAUUUCAUUUCUGGCAUUAAUAAAGGUCAUAAGGAAGAAUCAUG
This 1265-nucleotide long non-coding RNA is filed under the name Capra hircus (goat). Its description in RNAcentral is "lncRNA (ENSCHIG00000003881.1)". The record is from RNAcentral. Lineage: Eukaryota; Metazoa; Chordata; Mammalia; Artiodactyla; Bovidae.